RNAcentral lists this ribosomal RNA (210 nucleotides) under uncultured bacterium. RNAcentral describes it as "partial 16S ribosomal RNA". It matches the Rfam family "Bacterial small subunit ribosomal RNA", at positions 568 to 776 of the family's 1533-position model. The record is from RNAcentral.
UGCGUAGGCGGCGGAGUAAGUUGGGUGUGAAAUCCCGGGGCUUAACCUCGGAAUGGCAUUCAAUACUGCUUCGCUCGAGUACUGGAGAGGAGGCUGGAAUUUACGGUGUAGCAGUGAAAUGCGUAGAUAUCGUAAGGAAGGCCGGUGGCGAAAGCGAGCCUCUGGACAGUUACUGACGCUGAUGCACGAAGGGCCAGGGAAGGCAAAACG